RNAcentral lists this long non-coding RNA (842 nucleotides) under Cricetulus griseus (Chinese hamster). Its description in RNAcentral is "lncRNA (ENSCGRG00015031276.1)". Lineage: Eukaryota; Metazoa; Chordata; Mammalia; Rodentia; Cricetidae. The record is from RNAcentral.
GGCAGAGAAGUCUCUCUUGGGGUAGCAGGACGAGAGGGUGAACGCUGGUGUGUUCGAAUGUUCCUGUGAUUCCAGCCCUGAAAAGCAGAGGCCUGAGGUAAACUGGCUUCAUAAGAUGGAUGGGCAGUGCUGUGGCGCCUUGGUGGAGACUUGAGUCCACAAAUACUACUUCUCAUUGACCUAGAAACCCACUGUUCCAAGUAUGCUUUCUGGUCAGCAAGCUCUUACUAUCUGCCCAUCUCCAUCUGCCAAUAUAGAGAUUACAGUUGGUAAACAGAUAUCAACACCCAAUACAGCUAUGGCAGAGCUGAUGAUUGAACUCAGGACUUCUUGCAUUCUAGUCAAUUAGAAAAAUAGCUGAGCAGAACCAUGGACAGCCAGUCCAGGAAGUUGGUGGUGUGCAACAACGGCACUAGGUUUGUGAAGUGUGGAUAUGCAGGCUCUAACUUUCCAGAACAUAUCUUCAAGAACACAUCUUCCCAUCUUUGGUUGGAAGACCUAUUAUCAGAUCUACCACCAAAGUGGGAAACAUUGAAAUCAAAGAUCUCAUGGUUGGUGAUGAGGCAAGUGAAUUGCGCUCAAUGUUGGAAGUUAAUUACCCCAUGGAGAACGGCAUAGUACAAAAUUGGGAUGGCAUGAAACACCUGUGGGAUUACACAUUUGGACCAGAGAAACUCAACAUAGACACCAGAAACUGCAAAAUUUUACUCACAGAACCACCUAUGAAACCAACCAAAAACAGGGAGAAGAUGUAGCGAUCCAGGCAGUUCUGAGUUUCUAUGCUCAAGGUUUAUUGACUGGUGUAGUAAUAGACUCUGGAGAUGGUGUGACUCAUAUUUGCC